This 463-nucleotide ribosomal RNA is filed under the name Pectobacterium carotovorum. RNAcentral's name for it is "bacterial SSU rRNA". It matches the Rfam family "Bacterial small subunit ribosomal RNA", at positions 339 to 795 of the family's 1533-position model. The record is from RNAcentral. Lineage: Bacteria; Pseudomonadati; Pseudomonadota; Gammaproteobacteria; Enterobacterales; Pectobacteriaceae. RNAcentral also lists the same sequence under 1 other name.
CUACGGGUGGCUGCAGUGGGGAAUCUUGCGCAAUGGGCGAAAGCCUGACGCAGCAACGCCGCGUGGGGGAAGAAGGCCUUCGGGUUGUAAACCUCUUUCAGUAGGGACGAAGCUUCCGGGGUUAAUAGCCUACGGGGUGACGGUACCUACAGAAGAAGCCCCGGCUAACUACGUGCCAGCAGCCGCGGUAAUACGUAGGGGGCAAGCGUUGUCCGGAAUCAUUGGGCGUAAAGCGCGUGUAGGCGGCUUGGUAAGUCUGGCGUGAAAUCUUGGGGCUCAACCCCAAGCGUGCGCUGGAUACUGCCUCGCUCGAGUCCGGGAGAGGAAAGCGGAAUUCCCAGUGUAGCGGUGAAAUGCGCAGAUAUUGGGAAGAACACCGGUGGCGAAGGCGGCUUUCUGGAACGGUACUGACGCUGAGACGCGAAAGCGUGGGGAGCAAACAGGAUUAGAUACCCUGGUAGUC